CCUACGGGUGGCAGCAGUGGGGAAUAUUGCGCAAUGGGCGAAAGCCUGACGCAGCGACGCCGCGUGAGGGAUGAAGGUCUUCGGAUCGUUAACCUCUUUCAGCAGGGAAGAACGGUCACUGUGCUAAUCAGCAGUGAAUUGACGGUACCUGCAAAGGACGCACCGGCUAACUCCGUGCCAGCAGCCGCGGUAAUACGGAGGGUGCGAGCGUUAAUCGGAAUUACUGGGCGUAAAGCGCUCGUAGGCGGUAUGUCAAGUCAAGGGUGAAAUCCCCGCGCGCAACGUGGGAACUGCCUUUGAAACUGGCAAACUGGAGUGUGUGAGAGGAUAGUGGAAUGCCAGGUGUAGGAGUGAAAUCCGUAGAUAUCUGGAGGAACAUCAGUGGCGAAGGCGACUAUCUGGCACAUAACUGACGCUGAGGAGCGAAAGCGUGGGUAGCAAACAGGAUUAGAUACCCUAGUAGUC
This 465-nucleotide ribosomal RNA is filed under the name uncultured bacterium. Its description in RNAcentral is "partial 16S ribosomal RNA". It matches the Rfam family "Bacterial small subunit ribosomal RNA", at positions 338 to 795 of the family's 1533-position model. The record is from RNAcentral.